This is a long non-coding RNA of Zingiber officinale, 605 nucleotides long. RefSeq lists it as uncharacterized. The record is from RefSeq and is a predicted model, not a curated record. The transcript is spliced from 3 exons. Lineage: Eukaryota; Viridiplantae; Streptophyta; Magnoliopsida; Zingiberales; Zingiberaceae.
UAGCGUACGUCUUCGUUUCCUGUAAAAAUGGAGAGAGCACAAUAAAAUGGCAUACGACGAUUUUGACUGUUUCAGUUAGGAAAGCAUGAUUCGAUCAGUCGCGAGGGAUUGAUCUGCUCUUGGUUCCGAUAGGGAAUCGAUCUUCUUCUCCUUUGAGGUGGAGGAUUGGGGAGUGUAAUCCCUUCUACGCUCUAGAAUUUGUGAGAGUCGUGCUGCGCGGCCGCGGCUGGCUUUCAUUUCUCGUUGUUUUCGGGAGGAAAAGGAAUGGCGACUAUCGCGGAGCUGGAGGACAUUUAUCAAAUCACGCUGAUGAAAGUACUCUGUCAAGGAGUUAAACUUCAGUAUUAUCCUCCUGAGGUUACUAAGCAGCUCGAUAAUAAGAAGCAAACCAUGAUCAAGGAGCUCAACUCAUAUAUGUGGCGCUGAGAAAAAACAAGUUUCAAGUUGUUUUAGUAAAUCUUUCUGCUGUAGUUUAUUUAUUUAUUUAUUUGAUGUCAAAUAGCUCGGAGAAUCAAUCAUGAACUAGAACAUGAUUUUAUGACUUCUAGUUGAUCAAUACUUGUGAAAAGUGAAGUUUUUCUAAAUUAGUGCAUAUGGUUUACUAA